AACAACGUCGUGUCAUUGUCUGGUAGAACAAACGUACAAAUGCAGAACCUAUGCUUCUCUUCUCCGAGCUGUAACAAUGGCGAUGAUGGGUGAAGAAGGGAAGAAGGGAGGAAAGGAAGGGAAUAAUUUGCUGGGCUCACCGACCUUCAUGGAGCUUGAAAAUGGAAGGUUCAAGUGCGUAGAGACGGGCCACGAGAUGCUAGCCAAAGACAAAGAAUCGUAUUCGCAGAGCAAACGGUGCCGUUUGGGUCUCAUCGACUUUGCUUUGGCUCACAAUAAGCCCCCUCUCAAUAUGUUCAAGCAAGACCCUCUCUCCCGUUCAAAAUUGAUAUGUAAGCUGACAGGGGACACUGUCAAUAAGUCUGAGGAACAUAUCUGGAAGCACAUCAAUGGCAAGCGGUUCCUUAACAAACUGGAGCAAAAAGAAAUGGGGAAAGUUGAGGAAAGGCAACCGGAAGAAUUUAAGUCUGGCACAGAUGGUCAGAAGAAGAAGAAGAAAAAGAAGACCCUGUGAAGAAGGCUAAUGCAAAACCAAGUUUGGCGGAAGAGGCGGCAGCGGCUGCAAAGGCAGCAGCAGCAGCAGCUGCUGAUGUUGCAAAAGCAAGCCAAGAAAUGUUGAAUUCAAAAAGCGAAGAGAGAAGACACUUCAAGGAAUUUAUGAAUCUUUUGGAUGUGCAAGUUCAGGAAAUGAAAUCCAUGAGCACCGCAAUACGAAAAUUGGAAGGUAGGAAAUGUUGUUUUCUUAUCCAAUAAUUAGAUUUGCUUAUAUGGCUGCAUAAACUUGGUUGUUGAGUUGCUAUCUGUUGCUGAUCUCUGAGCAAUCCAUGCUAAAGUUUGAUUUGUUAGAGAAUGUAAUUUUACAUACCAUUCUUUCUUGUUUGGCAAAUUAUAAAUUUUUAAUCAAUCCAUAAGAACUGCAUUACUUAAAACCUUCGAUCCUCAUUUUUGGAGCCUUCAUGCUAACACAAGGUUAUUUGUUGUGACUGCUAAGUAAAGACAUGAAUCAUAAAGCACAUCAUCUUGUAACUAUUGGCUGUUACCUAUUACCAACUAUCAAGGUUCAGGCAUUGGCCCCUUAUCUUGAGGCCAUUUGUUUGUCCUACUGUUAUGAACCCCAUGACUUAGUUAUGGACCUGGGGAAGUGUGGUCCAGGUUUGAGAAUUUAUAGAUAUUCAUAUCCUUCAACAUGUUUUUUGCCUGAAAUGGUUGCUGUCAAGACUCAAAAAUAUGCCUUUGCAGUUGCAUUGCAAUCCAAGACUAGUAUUGGUGUGUGAUCUAUUAUAGUCCCAAACCCAAAUCAAAAUGUAAAGAAAUUUAACAAAUUUAUAUUGUCUGCCUUCACACUGGUAAGACAAAAAAAGUUAAAAAUAAAAUGGAAAGAGAUGUUGCUGCCCCAGUCACAGCUUUGGAAGAAGUCCUCUGUAUGUGUGGGAGAAAUGUCGAUGUGCAUGUUGGUGGUGAUGUUUCCUUAGCAAGCAGUGAAAUGAAUUUAUCCACUGCUGAAAGUUUCUUUUCCUGAUUGUUAUCAAUUUUGGGGAAGUUGUGUGCCCUCUUACUUGUUUUCAGUCAUAUGAGUUCUCCAUUAACCAAAUCAGCCUUCUAUUUUCAUUUCUAGGUUUUUAUGUUGAAAUUUCAUGGUGUUUCUGGAAAAGAUGUCUUAAAAGAAGCUAGGAUUUUGUUCAUAUAUUGUUGAACAUUUUCUUUUCCUGUCUGUUAGGACAAACUAAUAACCUUGGGGGAACCUCUCAUGUUGAUCAAGAAGAUUAUACUCUAUCAGUGGCAAAUUAUCCUAAGCAAACCUAUGUGAAUGGCAAUGCUAAGUCUGAUUCGCGCACAGUGAGAUCUUCAUCGCCACCUACUUCUGCUGAACCCUCUGUUGCACCACACCCAAAGUCAUAUAUGGAGAUCAUGGCAAUGGUUCAAAGAGGAGAGAGACCUGCUAACAUCAGAGAUAUCAAUGAUCAACCACCCAACCCUAACCAGAAAAUUUCAAAUACUCGCUUAGCACCAAAGAGUAAGCCUUGGGAGGCUGGUCAAUCCCUAAACAAUUCAAGCCAAGCUCUCCAGUCUCAAGUAAAUGGAGAAGAUUUGAAUUCCAAGGUACAAGACAAUGGUGUGACCUAUCAGUUUGAUGGUGAGAGUGCCAUACCUUGGUGGCAGCGGAAGAAUGCCAGAAUCACAGAGAUUGAAAAUGAAGAUGAACUCGAGGAUGGACAUUAUGGUGCACGAACUAAUGAGCAACCGAUUCAGCGUACAUGGGUUCCUCCCCAGCCACCCCCUGUUGCAAUGCCUGAAGCAGCGGAAGCCAUCCGACGGCCAAAAUCGUCAGUUCAGAAAGAACAGUUGGCAGAGGAUCAAUCUGUUUCUCAUUCAACAGAUGUAACAGAUGAGUUGCAGAGGAUAACAAAAAUAUCUGAAUCAGGGGGUGCAGUGGAGGUCAAUGGUGGGGGAUUAGAGCCGAACUCAAUUGGGAUAAAGGAAGUGCAAGAACACAGCUAUGAAGAGAACUGAAGGUGGAAUUCAAUUUGGAUGAUCAGCUUGGCCAAAGUAACAGGUAUUCACUUAAAUAAUUGCCUAAGAAUAUUACAUAUAAGCAUGAAACGACUAUUGUGUACCCAAACUGAUUGCUAAACAAUAUAUGUGGUGUCUAUUUCAUGAGAGAAUAAAGUCAUGAAUUCUGAAAGCUCAACUUGUUUUCUUAUGGAGGCAAAUAAGUACCGAUCAGAGCGUAAAUCAACUUUUAUAAUUAAUAUGCUUUUAUUUUAAUAACUGACAUGUUUGCUCGAGGAUAAGAUGAUAAAGGAAAGGAUUUUGAUGCUGGCAGCGACUUGGUGAUAAUGGACGCUUGUGUGUGGCCAACCAUGCAUUUUUGGUGAAUCAAAGGAUUUUCUGAGUGGAAAUUCAAUAAUUCAUCCAGCCUCGUUGCCUUUGUUUUGCUGGUUAAUCCCUAAUUCGUUUUUCCAGUUACUAAGUUGAACAACUUCCCCUCAACAUGGAAAAUUUUCUCUCGGGAAGAGAUGAUUUUCAUGCUAGAAUCAGCUAUUUCCAUGUAAUAACCCUAAUUCUCUACAACUAUUUUCGAUGAAUGUCGACAUUUCAAAUUAUAAUCAUAUGCUAUAAAAUAAAUAUUCAGUAUUAUUGAGCUAGCAAGUGCAAGUCCAC
Molecule: unclassified non-coding RNA, 3162 nt
Filed under: Hevea brasiliensis (rubber tree)
Lineage: Eukaryota; Viridiplantae; Streptophyta; Magnoliopsida; Malpighiales; Euphorbiaceae
Source: RNAcentral